GGCUGGUCCGAGUGCAGUGCUGUUUACAGCUAAUUGAUCACAACCAGUUACAGAUUUCUUUGUUCCUUCUCCACUCCUACUGCUUCACUUGACUAGCCUAAA
This is a Y RNA of Callithrix jacchus (white-tufted-ear marmoset), 102 nucleotides long. It matches the Rfam family "Y RNA". Rfam says of the family: Y RNAs are components of the Ro ribonucleoprotein particle (Ro RNP), in association with Ro60 and La proteins. The record is from Ensembl. Lineage: Eukaryota; Metazoa; Chordata; Mammalia; Primates; Cebidae.